AUUGAACGCUGGCGGCAUGCUUUACACAUGCAAGUCGAACGGUAACAGGUUAAGCUGACGAGUGGCGAACGGGUGAGUAAUGCGUCGGAACGUACCCGGUCGUGGGGGAUAACGCAGCGAAAGUUGCGCUAAUACCGCAUACGAUCUGAGGAUGAAAGCGGGGGACCGUAAGGCCUCGCGCGAUCGGAGCGGCCGAUGUCAGAUUAGGUAGUUGGUGGGGUAAAGGCUCACCAAGACAACGAUCUGUAGCUGGUCUGAGAGGACGACCAGCCACACUGGGACUGAGACACGGCCCAGACUCCUACGGGAGGCAGCAGUGGGGAAUUUUGGACAAUGGGCGAAAGCCUGAUCCAGCAAUGCCGCGUGCAGGAAGAAGGCCUUCGGGUUGUAAACUGCUUUUGUACGGAGCGAAAAGGUCUCCUCUAAUACAGGGGGCUCAUGACGGUACCGUAAGAAUAAGCACCGGCUAACUACGUGCCAGCCGCCGCAGUAA
RNAcentral lists this ribosomal RNA (493 nucleotides) under uncultured bacterium. RNAcentral describes it as "partial 16S ribosomal RNA". It matches the Rfam family "Bacterial small subunit ribosomal RNA", at positions 30 to 523 of the family's 1533-position model. The record is from RNAcentral.